This 137-nucleotide small nucleolar RNA is filed under the name Propithecus coquereli (Coquerel's sifaka). The record is from RNAcentral. Lineage: Eukaryota; Metazoa; Chordata; Mammalia; Primates; Indriidae.
UUGGCCCUGAAUCAAGGCCAGCAGUUUGCUGAAGCUGUUGGUUUCAAACAGGAGCCUAAAGAAUUAUCUUUCUAUGGUCUCUUGGCCAUUUCAGAACUUUGGAAAUGUAAUGGUCAAUUCAUUAGAAAGAAACAUCU